UCAAACUUGCAGCGAUCUUCCUGCUUCAGCCUCUGGAGGGCUGACAUUAUAGGCAUGCACCACCACACCCGGUUUACUUAUUACUAACUUUUUUGUUUUGGGGGUUUUUUUUGUUUUUUUUUUACAGGGGAUCAAACUUGAGUCUAGGCGUUUGCGAGGCAGGCGGCAGAACCACUGAGCUAACUCCCCGGCCCUAUUACCAACUUUUAAUACUUGAUGCUAACCCCUCCAAAACACUGCUCUUGUCCUGUCAGUGGAUGAUGGUCAAGCUCAGGGGCCACAGACCAGAAGAGGGCGCUCUCGGGCUCCCCGCCGGGGAGAGGAGAAUCACAACCUGAAGAUUCCACCCAUCCCUUGCCAGUAUCUCUCCUGUCUUCCUCAGCUUGACUCGCUGCAUGGUACUGGUACUCAGAUCCCUCUGCCUGUGCUGCUGGGAGUCACCGCUAAGAGGCUCACACCACACUGCACGGUUAUUAAACCUUCCGGUAAUUCACAAAGAACAAUAGACAUGAGAUGACCAUGCACCCUACACAAGGCUACCAAGGC
This 546-nucleotide long non-coding RNA is filed under the name Fukomys damarensis (Damara mole-rat). Its description in RNAcentral is "lncRNA (ENSFDAG00000029720.1)". The record is from RNAcentral. Lineage: Eukaryota; Metazoa; Chordata; Mammalia; Rodentia; Bathyergidae.